CCUACGGGAGGCAGCAGUGGGGAAUUUUGGACAAUGGGCGCAGGCCUGAUUCAGCAAUGCCGCGUGAGUGAAGAAGGCCUUCGGGUUGUAAAGCUCUUUUGUCAGGGAAGAAACGGUCUACUCUAAUACAGUGGGCUAAUGACGGUACCUGAAGAAUAAGCACCGGCUAACUACGUGCCAGCAGCCGCGGUAAUACGUAGGGUGCAAGCGUUAAUCGGAAUUACUGGGCGUAAAGCGUGCGCAGGCGGUUAUAUAAGUCAGAUGUGAAAUCCCCGGGCUCAACCUGGGAACUGCAUUUGAGACUGUAUGGCUAGAGUGUGUCAGAGGGGGGUAGAAUUCCACGUGUAGCAGUGAAAUGCGUAGAUAUGUGGAGGAAUACCGAUGGCGAAGGCAGCCCCCUGGGAUAACACUGACGCUCAUGCACGAAAGCGUGGGGAGCAAACAGGAUUAGAUACCCUGGUAGUCCACGCCCUAAACGAUGUCUACUAGUUGUCGGGACUUAAUUGUCUUGGUAACGCAGCUAACGCGUGAAGUAGACCCGCCUGGGGGAGGUACGGUCGCGAGAGUAAACUACGAAAGAAGUAGAGCGNGAGAGAGCGACGGACGACGACGAGGGAGGAGG
Molecule: ribosomal RNA, 622 nt
Filed under: uncultured bacterium
Lineage: Bacteria
Description: bacterial SSU rRNA
Rfam family: Bacterial small subunit ribosomal RNA (bases 1-543)
Source: RNAcentral